Molecule: ribosomal RNA, 366 nt
Filed under: uncultured eukaryote
Lineage: Eukaryota
Description: partial 18S ribosomal RNA
Rfam family: Eukaryotic small subunit ribosomal RNA
Source: RNAcentral
CAAUAGCGUAUAUUAACGUUGUUGCAGUUAAAAAGCUCGUAGUUGGAUUUCUGGAGGGAGCGUCGGCCCGUAUUUACGAGUGCGUGACGUCUCUGUCCAUCCUUGCGGGAAGGCACGGCAUUGAUUUGUUGUGUCGGAUCGCAUCAUUUACUGUGAAAAAAUUAGAGUGUUCAAAGCAGGCUUUCGCUUGAAUACAUUAGCAUGGAAUAAUAAGAUAGGACUUUGGUGCUAUUUUGUUGGUUGAGCCUAAAGUAAUGAUUAUUAGGGAUAGUUGGGGGCACCUGUAUUGCGUUGUCAGAGGUGAAAUUCUUGGAUUUACGCAAGACAAACAGCUGCGAAAGCGUCUGCCAAGGAUGUUUUCAUUAA